UUAACGAUGAUGAUGAUGAUAAACUUUAAUGAUCCAACCGGUGACGAGCAGCUAAACCAACAUGACUGAAUCAAUGAAUCUAAUCAACAACGAGCAAUGGAGAUGGGCUGCGAUUCGCGAUGAAUCCAACCGGUGACAAGCUACUCAACCGACUAGUGGGUGAUGCGUAAGAAGAAGAGAAGAGAGAGGAGCCAAGUGGUGAAACCACGAGGUGGUCGUCCGGUGUCGAGCAACAAAGAUUGCAAUCAACGAUGAGCUACUCAACCAAUAAAGAUGCUGCAGCCAUUCGUUUCUAGGUAAGAAAAACAAGAUGGGUUAUUCGACUACUAGGUCAAAGAUUUUGUUUUUUCCUUCUUUUUUUUUUUCAAUUUAUAUUUUUAAUUGCAAAGAGAAUAUUUUGGAAAAAUAGAAAAAACAAUCGCCAUAGUUUUGUCUUUAGGGGGAAUGGGAUACCCCCAAACUGGAAUGAGAAUCCCAUUAAUCAAUCCUUAUUUUAUGUGGAUCCCGUGCACCUUCUUCCAUUCCCACACUCAAUUAAACAAGUAAACAAUUUCUUUAUUCUGAUUCCCGUUACUGUCUAGUAAACACUCCCAAUAGUCUAAAAGUCUAAAAGAACAGCGUGAAGUAUUCUAUUCUCUAGAUUAUAGAUGAUACAUCCCCAAAAUCGAUCCUUCUUACCAAUAUACUUACAACCCCGUAGUGUAAGAAUCUAAAAAGAUACAGAGACCGAGGGGGAAAAAAAGAAAGAAAAAAUGAAAAACAAAGUUUCUUAGGUACACACUCCACUCGGAAAAAUUAUUUAAAAAAAAAAAAUCAAAAACUCGAACGAGAGAAGGAAUCAAAACAGAUCAAAGAACAUUAGUACGCCCUAAAACCAAAUUGCUCACGCCUCACGAUCUAGAAUGAAACUCUCCAGUCUCCACACUUUAGAAGAACAAAUACAAAUGUUUAGAACACCCAUGCAGCCCAUUCAAGUUUCAACCAUUUCCUGGGCAGAGCAGCAGUAACAGCUUUAACAGAUACAGCUCCCUGGUCUGAGCUGACUCAAAGAAACCUCUCUUCAGCUCACCACUGUUAUCUUUUCAGACCUGAGCCAUCUGCUGCUUCAGUGCCUGCAGGGACUUGAUUUUGGAUUCACAAAUCCGAAGAAAUGCAGAGAGUCCUGCACGCUGCCCAGCUACAAAUUUCCUUGCAACAUCAACAGGACUCCAAGAUUUCAUAGCUUGAGAUAUCCGAUCACCAAGUUCUGCCUCAUUCAAGGAUGAGAUCAGUGUUCCAAGAAGCCGGAACACCUGCCCAGGACCGUCACCCCUGUCAUUUGCCUCAAGAGAGGAGAAUAUAGCAUCUAACUUUUCAUCCUCUGACUUCUUGAUAUGAUGCCCUAACCACUUUGCUACCUCUUCCACUACGCCACUUGUAGAUUGAACAGAGCCCCGAAUAUCAUGAGACAGUGGAGAGGUAGAAUGAUCUGCAGAUCCACUUUUCUUCUUCUUCUUUCCAGAUGGAAGAGAUGAUCGGACACAAGAUUGCAUUACAAGUGUAUGCCAAGCCAACGGUUCUGUGACAAGUUGCACCAAAACUGAAAGAUCAAGCCGUGGAUAGCAUACAAGUGACUCCAUGGAUCUGACCUCCAAAAUACACUUCUUCAGCAGUGUAUUCACAACCUGCCAAGUAGAAGGCCUGCAUCCAUUUACAUCCGGCAGCACAACUUCAUGGGAACUCAAGUUCCAUGCAUUCAAAAAUACAGCAAAAUUCAACCAACCAACCAUGUCCGCACCAAAAGCCUGCCUCACAGGUAAAAAAGUUACUUUAAUAGGGCAGCAGUGUAACUAAUGAGUCAGCAAGCAUGCAUACGCCUCAAUUACUAACUUUUCUUCAGUGGCGAAGUGUACGCACUACUUGCACUUAAGAUGUAAUCAUGAUCAACCUGAUAGAAUUUCAGCUCUUUUAAUUUCCCAGAAAAUUUUGUUAUUUUACUAAGCUUAUUUCCAUGUUGUAUAUUUCCAUGCCAAAAUAUGUCAAAUGAACUUAUGGCUUUUAAAGGGAGAGGAGAAAUAUUUUGAAAAGCUUGCUAUGCCAAAUUCAAAAGUGGUUCACCAUGUAUAUCGGUUUUGGGUACUCACCACAUAGGCAUCUUGUCUAUGUAAUUGGAGCAUUGCAACGAAAUUCAGUAACACUUACAAAAUUAAAGGAUCCUAGCAAAGCGAAGAUAUGUGCUUGUAGUCAGAAAGCCAGCAAUCACUUACCUCAGAAGAGUUCAAGCCACUAGAAACCCCUGAAACCACUUCUACUGCAUCUCUUAAAGAAAACCCCAACAUUUUUGCAUAGCGAUCAAGCAAAUACUUCAGCUCUGACGAAACUUUUGGGUCACAUAUAGAUCCAUUGACUUCAAAGUUUUCCUUGACGCAUGCUGAAACAGUCUGAAUUGACAGAUAUAUCAACCGAGGCAGAAGAGAUUUCCUCUCAACAACUCCUAGUAUAUUUGCUUCCCUUUCUUUCAUCUAGAUUUGCUCAAUAUAUAGAAAACGAUCGAAAGUUACAAAACGAAAAGGAGGGAUUAUGUGUGUAUCAUUACAAAGUCAAGGACAGAGGAUAGUACCAAGUUCUCUUUAGGACAGUAGGAGAUUCCUGCAAAUGGACCUGUGCAAAACAAUUGUCAACACAUUGUAAGAAACGAACAUAAGAAGACACCCACUAUAACACCCAACACUGUCAUACACAACAUUGCAGAAUAAAUCUUGAAAGUUCUAACUUCUAAAAGCAUACAAAUCCUAAGCAAGGAAAGUAGUAUCAUUUUUCUUCAAGAACAAAAUUCAGAGAAGAGCCACACUACACUAGACAAUAUCUUAUCCUUUUCUGACGCAUCUUUAUUUUCGUUGACUUCUAUCAUUGUCAAACAAUUCAGUUGCACAAAAUGUUACCAUACCAAAGAACUGCAAGCACAUUGGAAAGGUCCAGUGUUUUAACUUACCUAACAGAUAAUUCUUAUCUGGAGUUGGUGCCCACCAGGGACGAGACUGCCAAUCUUCAUUGAAGGUCACAGAUUUGGAUCCAAUCUCAUUGGAUAGCUCAAGAAAGUGAACCCCGCAUUUCAAGUUUUCAAGAACAG
This 3109-nucleotide long non-coding RNA is filed under the name Citrus sinensis (sweet orange). RNAcentral describes it as "long non-coding RNA (CSIN_LNC003692)". The record is from RNAcentral. Lineage: Eukaryota; Viridiplantae; Streptophyta; Magnoliopsida; Sapindales; Rutaceae.